RNAcentral lists this unclassified non-coding RNA (327 nucleotides) under uncultured fungus. Its description in RNAcentral is "partial contains small subunit ribosomal RNA, internal transcribed spacer 1, and 5.8S ribosomal RNA". The stretch from base 1 to 73 matches the Rfam family "Eukaryotic small subunit ribosomal RNA", at positions 1759 to 1831 of the family's 1831-position model. Lineage: Eukaryota; Fungi. The record is from RNAcentral.
GCAAACUUGGUCAUUUAGAGGAAGUAAAAGUCGUAACAAGGUUUCCGUAGGUGAACCUGCGGAAGGAUCAUUACCAAUCUUUUGCCUCGUUUUUUACCGAAGCAAAAAAACAUCCCGUCAACCUGUUGCACUUGUUUAAUAGUUCUUUGUGUGCAGCCUGUUCCUCUGCCUUUGCUGUGCUGGGGGUACACUGCACACUAUUAUAUACUACAAACAAUCUCAACAACCAACCAAUAUACUACAAACUGAUCAUAUAACAAACAAAACAAACAAAAUACAACUUUCAACAAUGGAUCUCUUGGCUCUCGCAUCGAUGAAGAACGCAGC